GGGCGGUGGCGAGGACGUCUCGGGACCUCCACUCCGCGGCUGCAGUGUCGGGAUCCUGACUUCGCUCCCUAGUGCCUUCCGCACAGCGGAAGUCUCGGUUUAUCUGGAGUUAAUUCUACUUAGGAGUCAGCUAAGCACUUCCUGUUGUACCUACAAAUGCAAGCCACCAGAGCCAGGUAAUCAAGGAGUGUCCUCUGAGGUUCAACCACAAAAACUGGGACACCAGAUGUGUACACAAGCUCCUUUCUGGGAGAUACUGCUGAUCUGGAGUUGAGGCAGAGAGAAAGCUGAAAGAUGUACCCACCGGGCCCUCUGGUAUCUGGAGAGUAUUAUGUCAGCACCCAGAUAUGUUUUAAAUUAGAAGCCUACCCAUCAGCCCAAAGCUUUGAAGAUAAGCAAAAAGUCUGUAGUGGUCACCUUCAGAGAUACUGAGGCAGAGGUAAGACAGGCACCUCCCCCACGGGCAGUGGAGGUGUGAAUUGGUACAGUUUUUCUGAAGUUAAUUUGACAGAUGUUAUCAAGAACCUUAAAUUGUUCAAACUCUGACCUAAUUCAACUUCUAGGUUCCUUGCUGUAGGAAUAAUCAGAAAUAUGGACAGUGAUUUAUAUACAAAGAUACUGAUCACAGCAUUAUUCAUAGGGUUUAUAAAUAAGAAAAUCAUUACAUUAAUCAGGAUAUGGUUAUAUAGGACAGCCAUUUACAUACUGCUUACAGAUAAUUUUAAAUGACAUAAGAAGGUGUCCAUAAUAUUUUACUGAAUUAAAGAGGAGACUAAACUCUAUAAACAUGAUACUGUCGCAACUAUAUAAAAAUAUCACCAUAUUUGGAGAAAAAGAAUGAAAAACAGGCAAACAUUAACAGGUUAUCUGGAUGUGAGAAGAAUGCAUGCUAUUCUUCUGUUUCUCCCUGUGUCUUCAAGUUUUCUAUGAUGUAUACUCUCUCCUAAAAUAUAGUAAGUACAUUUAGAGACAGAAAAAAUUAUUUUUCAAAGGGAAUAAGUGGCCUUUUGAGUGAUUUCAAAACCUGUCACUCUGUUGACUGUGGCUGAGCUUUCUGCCUUCCCAGUUUGCUGCCUUGUGCUGGUGGCCAGAGUGGGGAAACCCUACGGCGUCAUUUCCCAGAGUCAGGGUAACUGUGUCUGAUUCACUUUCCUUUUUAACCUUUGAUUAAGAUUGAGAAAAGGUCUCAACUUCAUUUUAGACAGUAGUAAAUAAUCUGCAGGACUGAACAAACCUCCCUGAAUGUAGGUCGUCUACUUUUCUUCUUCAAGAUUUUCCUUCUCCCUUCCUUUAUUCUAUG
Molecule: long non-coding RNA, 1300 nt
Organism: Manis pentadactyla (Chinese pangolin)
Lineage: Eukaryota; Metazoa; Chordata; Mammalia; Pholidota; Manidae
Exons: 3
Source: RefSeq, a predicted model, not a curated record